GACAUAGGCACAAUAAAAACAAGACAUCACCCACAAUACAACAAUAAUGAUAAGAAGAUUUUUCCCCCCCAUAGGAACAAAUAUAAUAGUCAUACGUUGUACAACGGUUGUAUUUUGUUUCUUUUUUUCUCUUUCUCU
RNAcentral lists this non-coding RNA (138 nucleotides) under Fragilariopsis kerguelensis. Lineage: Eukaryota; Bacillariophyta; Bacillariophyceae; Bacillariales; Bacillariaceae. The record is from RNAcentral.